CGGGGGGGGCAAGCGUUGUUCGGAAUUACUGGGCGUAAAGGGCGCGUAGGCGGUUUGCUAAGUUGGAUGUGAAAACUCUGGGCUUAACCCAGAGCCUGCAUCCAAAACUAGCAGGCUAGAGUUCUGGAGGGGAUAGCGGAAUUCCUGGUGUAGCGGUGAAAUGCGUAGAUAUCAGGAGGAACACCGGUGGCGAAGGCGGCUAUCUGGACAGAAACUGACGCUGAGGCGCGAAAGCUAGGGGAGCAAACAGGAUUAGAUACCCUGGUAGUCCUAGCCCUAAACGAUGGAUACUUGGUGUGACUGGGAUUGAAUCCAGUCGUGCCGAAGCUAACGCAUUAAGUAUCCCGCCUGGGGAGUACGGUCGCAAGGCUG
This 372-nucleotide ribosomal RNA is filed under the name uncultured organism. RNAcentral describes it as "bacterial SSU rRNA". It matches the Rfam family "Bacterial small subunit ribosomal RNA", at positions 526 to 896 of the family's 1533-position model. The record is from RNAcentral.